AACGAACGCUGGCGGCGUGGAUAAGACAUGCAAGUCGAACGAGAGAAUUGCUAGCUUGCUAAUAAUUCUCUAGUGGCGCACGGGUGAGUAACACGUGAGUAACCUGCCCCCGAGAGCGGGAUAGCCCUGGGAAACUGGGAUUAAUACCGCAUAGUAUCGAAAGAUUAAAGCAGCAAUGCGCUUGGGGAUGGGCUCGCGGCCUAUUAGUUAGUUGGUGAGGUAACGGCUCACCAAGGCGAUGACGGGUAGCCGGUCUGAGAGGAUGUCCGGCCACACUGGAACUGAGACACGGUCCAGACACCUACGGGUGGCAGCAGUCGAGAAUCAUUCACAAUGGGGGAAACCCCGAUGGUGUGACGCCGCGUGGGGGAAUGAAGGUCUUCGGAUUGUAAACCCCUGUCAUGUGGGAGCAAAUUAAAAAGAUAGUACCACAAGAGGAAGAGACGGCUAACUCUGUGCCAGCAGCCGCGGUAAUACAGAGGUCUCAAGCGUUGUUCGGAAUCACUGGGCGUAAAGCGUGCGUAGGCUGUUUCGUAAGUCGUGUGUGAAAGGCGCGGGCUCAACCCGCGGACGGCACAUGAUACUGCGAGACUAGAGUAAUGGAGGGGGAACCGGAAUUCUCGGUGUAGCAGUGAAAUGCGUAGAUAUCGAGAGGAACACUCGUGGCGAAGGCGGGUUCCUGGACAUUAACUGACGCUGAGGCACGAAGGCCAGGGGAGCGAAAGGGAUUAGAUACCCCUGUAGUCCUGGCAGUAAACGGUGCACGCUUGGUGUGCGGGGAAUCGACCCCCUGCGUGCCGGAGCUAACGCGUUAAGCGUGCCGCCUGGGGAGUACGGUCGCAAGAUUAAAACUCAAAGAAAUUGACGGGGACCCGCACAAGCGGUGGAGUAUGUGGCUUAAUUCGAUGCAACGCGAAGAACCUUACCUGGGCUUGACAUGUAAUGAACAACAUGUGAAAGCAUGCGACUCUUCGGAGGCGUUACACAGGUGCUGCAUGGCCGUCGUCAGCUCGUGUCGUGAGAUGUUUGGUUAAGUCCAGCAACGAGCGCAACCCCUGUUGCCAGUUACCAGCACGUGAAGGUGGGGACUCUGGCGAGACUGCCCAGAUCAACUGGGAGGAAGGUGGGGACGACGUCAGGUCAGUAUGGCCCUUAUGCCCAGGGCUGCACACGUACUACAAUGCCCAGUACAGAGGGGGCCGAAGCCGCGAGGCGGAGGAAAUCCUGAAAACUGGGCCCAGUUCGGACUGUAGGCUGCAACCCGCCUACACGAAGCCGGAAUCGCUAGUAAUGGCGCAUCAGCUACGGCGCCGUGAAAUACGUUCCCGGGUUCUU
This 1335-nucleotide ribosomal RNA is filed under the name uncultured bacterium. Its description in RNAcentral is "bacterial SSU rRNA". It matches the Rfam family "Bacterial small subunit ribosomal RNA", at positions 28 to 1382 of the family's 1533-position model. The record is from RNAcentral.